Molecule: ribosomal RNA, 253 nt
Filed under: uncultured bacterium
Lineage: Bacteria
Description: partial 16S ribosomal RNA
Rfam family: Bacterial small subunit ribosomal RNA
Source: RNAcentral
UACGAAGGGGGCUAGCGUUGUUCGGAAUUACUGGGCGUAAAGCGCACGUAGGCGGAUAUUUAAGUCAGGGGUGAAAUCCCAGAGCUCAACUCUGGAACUGCCUUUGAUGCUGGGUAUCUAGAGUAUGGAAGAGGUGAGUGGAAUUCCGAGUGUAGAGGUGAAAUUCGUAGAUAUUCGGAGGAACACCAGUGGCGAAGGCGGCUCACUGGUCCAUUACUGACGCUGAGGUGCGAAAGCGUGGGGAGCAAACAGG